ACAGUGUUUUGGGUGGUUCCCAUAACAGUUUGGUAGUUGGUUGAGUGUUUUGGGUAGUUACCUGGGUAGAGUGGUUGCUGGGCUGUUUUGGUGUCUGCAGUGUUGUUUGUUUUAGGUGGUUUCUAAGUGGUUGCUAUGGUGUUUUGGUGUUUGUUUUAGAUUGUUUCUAGGUGGUUGCUAGGGUGUUUGGGGUGGUUGAUGUGGUGUUUGUUUUAGAUGGUUUCUAGGUGUUUGCUAUGGUGUAUGUUUUAUAUGGUUUGUAGCUGGUUGCUAGUGUGUUUUUGGCUGGUUAAUAUGGUGUUUUGGGUAAUUGAUAUAUUGUUUAUUUUAAAUAGGUUUCUAGGUGGUUGCUGGGGUGUUUUGGGGUGGUUGCUAUGGUGUUUGUUUUAGAUGGUUCCUGGGUAGUUGCUGGGGUGUUUUUUGGCGGUUGCUGUGGUGUUUGUUUUAGAUGAUUUCUGGGUGGUUGCUAGGCGGGGGGGUUGGGGGGUUGGGUGGUUGCUAGGGUGUUUUGGGUGGUUGCUAUGGUGCUAGUUUUAGAUGGUUUCUAG
This is a long non-coding RNA of Cyprinus carpio carpio, 548 nucleotides long. The record is from Ensembl. Lineage: Eukaryota; Metazoa; Chordata; Actinopteri; Cypriniformes; Cyprinidae.